GCGGCCGUAGUCUAGUCUGGUAGGACAUCUGCAGAGACCUAAAGCCGGCCUGCCAAGCCGGCGGUCCCGGGUUCAAAUCCCGGCGGCCGCA
RNAcentral lists this transfer RNA (91 nucleotides) under Nitrososphaeria archaeon. RNAcentral describes it as "tRNA-Gly". It matches the Rfam family "tRNA". From Rfam's summary of the family: Transfer RNA (tRNA) molecules are approximately 80 nucleotides in length. Their secondary structure includes four short double-helical elements and three loops (D, anti-codon, and T loops). The record is from RNAcentral. Lineage: Archaea; Thermoproteati; Nitrososphaerota; Nitrososphaeria.